UCGUGCUAGAUGGGGAGAUAGCGGUGCCCUGUACCCGCAAUCCGCUAUAGCGGGAUUGAAUUCCCAUCCAGAGGUCUUCGCACCUCUUGUUCGACCGGAGCAAAGUGGCGCUGAAGACCGGAUUCUGCGCAAUCAAGAACUUCUGAACCCCGUCAGGACCGGAAGGUAGCAGCGGUAGGAAUAUCUCUUGGUGUGCCGCAGAGUUGUCCGGUUGGAGCUAACUGGCUCUGGGCAGACCUGAGGNNNNNNNNNNACCUGAGGGCGGGAUCGAAGAUGGGUGCACGG
RNAcentral lists this signal recognition particle RNA (285 nucleotides) under Gemmatimonadota bacterium. Its description in RNAcentral is "Gemmatimonadetes bacterium signal recognition particle sRNA large type". It matches the Rfam family "Bacterial large signal recognition particle RNA". Rfam says of the family: The signal recognition particle (SRP) is a universally conserved ribonucleoprotein involved in the co-translational targeting of proteins to membranes. Archaeal SRP consists of a 7S RNA and homologues of the eukaryotic SRP19 and SRP54 proteins. In most bacteria, the SRP consists of a 4.5S RNA and the Ffh protein (a homologue of the eukaryotic SRP54 protein). The record is from RNAcentral. Lineage: Bacteria; Pseudomonadati; Gemmatimonadota.